This 252-nucleotide ribosomal RNA is filed under the name uncultured bacterium. RNAcentral describes it as "partial 16S ribosomal RNA". It matches the Rfam family "Bacterial small subunit ribosomal RNA", at positions 524 to 776 of the family's 1533-position model. The record is from RNAcentral.
UACGUAGGGUGCAAGCGUUGUCCGGAAUUAUUGGGCGUAAAGAGCUCGUAGGCGGUUUGUCGCGUCUGCUGUGAAAUCCCGAGGCUCAACCUCGGGCCUGCAGUGGGUACGGGCAGACUAGAGUGCGGUAGGGGAGAUUGGAAUUCCUGGUGUAGCGGUGGAAUGCGCAGAUAUCAGGAGGAACACCAAUGGCGAAGGCGGCCUUCUGGGCUAUCCUGACGCUGAGGAGCGAAAGCGUGGGGAGCAAACAGG